GACGCGGUGCGAUGUUGGUUUUGCAGCGAGACUUUCAAUCUCGCCGACGCGGGUUCGAUUCCCGUCCGCGCCA
Molecule: transfer RNA, 73 nt
Filed under: Planctomycetota bacterium
Lineage: Bacteria; Pseudomonadati; Planctomycetota
Description: Planctomycetes bacterium (marine metagenome) tRNA-Glu
Rfam family: tRNA
About the family: Transfer RNA (tRNA) molecules are approximately 80 nucleotides in length. Their secondary structure includes four short double-helical elements and three loops (D, anti-codon, and T loops).
Source: RNAcentral